RNAcentral lists this long non-coding RNA (1248 nucleotides) under Triticum aestivum (bread wheat). RNAcentral's name for it is "long non-coding RNA (TAES_LNC000206)". The record is from RNAcentral. Lineage: Eukaryota; Viridiplantae; Streptophyta; Magnoliopsida; Poales; Poaceae.
UCGACUAGAAAAAUAUAAAAUAAGUGUAUCAAACACUAAAAUAUAAAAUAAGUGUAUCAAACACUAAAAUAUAAAAUAAGUGUAUCAUCGGCAAGCAAGUGUUGUGUACUAUUGUCAGUGCUUUGAGAUGAACUAUAAACACUCAGUUUCAUGUGUCUGUGUGGUGGAUAUUGUUUCAUAGUCAUGCCAUUUUUUUGGCUGAUUUAUGUCCUCUACUGCUGCAGUACUUGGGAGUUCCGUGAUGUGUAUUUUGUUGCUUUGUCACUUAUAGGUCAACUUGAUUACAUUUUUAGUUCACACAGAUUUCUUUUGAUUAAUUUUAAGCAACCCAAUGUUUAUUCUUGUUUUAUAGUACAUACUUUGUUAUUCUCUUUUAUAGGCAUUGCAAGAUUUAAGAAUUUUUGACAUGUAAUUCAUUUUUUAUGUUUAUUCUAAGUCUCUUAUUUCUACAAUCUAUUCAUAUAUACAAAUAUGUACUGUUGUAACUAUGUGUAUGAUUAGGUCCCAUGCUACUUGUUGCCACUUGUUGUUUCUUUUCACAUGUUUAAUUAAAUUUGUUGCACUAUGCACCCUGGGAGUGAAAAAAUAUAGAAUGUAGUAACAUGUACUCCCUCCAUAAAUAAAUAUAAGAGCGUUUAGAUAACUAAAGUAGUAGUGAUCUAAACACUCUUAUAUUUCUUUACAGAGGGAGUACUAAGCUACUUCUAGUUUACCUACUUGCUCUAAUAUUUUAUGAAGUGACAAAAUUUUCAUCAUCUGGCAGCUAUUGAUUUAUGGGAGCAUUUUCAGCAACAAAGACGUGUGUUUUGACGACUUCGGUAUGGACGGGCGGAUCUGUGGCUAGAAAAGCGGAUUGAUGGGGGCGGUGUUGGCUGUAGAGUAGCAUAGUGUUCUCCAAAACAUGCUUGUAAACUUAAUGUUAUUUGGGUAUUUUCUUUUUGGUCCUGUAGUGGUGUAUUUUUGGUUGUGUUUGUGUAAUUUUCUUUUUUUAGUGACAUGAGCAUAUAUUUUUUGUAAAAUUCUUAUUGGCUUAAAGUUUCAAUGGAGGCAGAAAUUCUUAUUGGCUUAAAGUUUCAAUGGAGGGAGAGAAAUGAGAGAUGAGCUAAUUUUCUUGACUGAAAUUAAUGGGCCGUAGAUGAAAUUAAUGCACUUAUAUUCUAAUUGGGUUGAUUACUAUAUGGGCCACUACUCUUACAUCUAGCUGAAAUUUAGUGGGCCAAAAUUUAAAUGGGCUGAGCAUUACAUGAG